GUCGAAGGGCAUCGGGGAGAGUGCCUGCACUCUCCGCCGGCGACUGGCGCACGGGUGAGUAACACGUAUGCAACCCGCCCUCCACAGGGGGACAACCUUCCGAAAGGGAGGCUAAUCCCGCGUAUAUCCCCCGGGGGCAUCCCCGAGGGAGGAAAGGAAUACCGGUGGAGGAUGGGCAUGCGGCGCAUUAGGCAGUAGGCGGGGUAACGGCCCACCUAGCCGACGAUGUCUAGGGGUUCUGAGAGGAAGGUCCCCCACACUGGUACUGAGACACGGACCAGACUCCUACGGGAGGCAGCAGUGAGGAAUAUUGGUCAAUGGGCUUACGCCUGAACCAGCCAAGUCGCGUGAGGGAAGACUGCCCUAUGGGUUGUAAACCUCUUUUGUCAGGGAGCAACGCCGGCUACGUGUAGCCGGACUGAGAGUACCUGAAGAAAAAGCAUCGGCUAACUCCGUGCCAGCAGCCGCGGUAAUACGGAGGAUGCGAGCGCUAUCCGGAUUUAUUGGGUUUAAAGGGUGCGUAGGCGGAAUGCCAAGUCAGCGGUAAAAUCGCGGGGCUCAACCUCGCUCCGCCGUUGAAACUGGCGUUCUUGAGUGGGCGAGAAGUAUGCGGAAUGCGUGGUGUAGCGGUGAAAUGCAUAGAUAUCACGCAGAACUCCGAUUGCGAAGGCAGCAUACCGGCGCCCAACUGACGCUGAAGCACGAAAGCGUGGGUAUCGAACAGGAUUAGAUACCCUGGUAGUCCACGCAGUAAACGAUGAAUACUAGCUGUUCGGGGCAAAUGAGCCUUGAGUGGCACAGCGAAAGCGUUAAGUAUU
This 818-nucleotide ribosomal RNA is filed under the name uncultured bacterium. RNAcentral's name for it is "bacterial SSU rRNA". It matches the Rfam family "Bacterial small subunit ribosomal RNA", at positions 61 to 868 of the family's 1533-position model. The record is from RNAcentral.